UAGCCGCCGCGGUAAUACCGGCGGCCCGAGUGGCGGCCACUAUUAUUGGGCUUAAAGCGUCCGUAGCCGGGUUGGUUAGUCUCCCGGGAAAUCUGGCCGCUUAACGGUCAGAAUUCCGGGAGAUACUGCCAGCCUAGGGACCGGGAGAGGCCGAGGGUAUUCCCGGAGUAGGGGUGAAAUCCUAUAAUCCCGGGAGGACCACCUGUGGCGAAGGCGCUCGGCUGGAACGGGUCCGACGGUGAGGGACGAAGGCCAGGGGAGCAAACCGGAUUAGAUACCCGGGUAGUCCUGGCUGUAAAGGAUGCGGGCUAGGUGUCGGGUGAGCUUCGGGCUCGCCCGGUGCCGUAGGGAAGCCGUUAAGCCCGCCGCCUGGGGAGUACGGCCGCAAGGCUGAAACUUAAAGGAAUUGGCGGG
This 414-nucleotide ribosomal RNA is filed under the name uncultured microorganism. Its description in RNAcentral is "bacterial SSU rRNA". It matches the Rfam family "Archaeal small subunit ribosomal RNA", at positions 459 to 872 of the family's 1478-position model. The record is from RNAcentral.